GACGACGCUGGCGGCGUGCUUAACACAUGCAAGUCGAACGGUGACGAGGAGCUUGCUCCUCUGAUCAGUGGCGAACGGGUGAGUAACACGUGAGCAACCUGCCCCAGACUCUAGGAUAACAGUUGGAAACAGCUGCUAAUACCGGAUACGAGACGGAGAGGCAUCUCUACCGUCUGGAAAGUUUUUCGGUCUGGGAUGGACUCGCGGCCUAUCAGCUAGUUGGUGAGGUAAUGGCUCACCAAGGCGACGACGGGUAGCCGGCCUGAGAGGGCGACCGGCCACACUGGGACUGAGACACGGCCCAGACUCCUACGGGAGGCAGCAGUGGGGAAUAUUGCACAAUGGGCGAAAGCCUGAUGCAGCGACGCCGCGUGAGGGAUGACGGCCUUCGGGUUGUAAACCUCUUUCAGCAGGGAAGAAGCGAAAGUGACGGUACCUGCAGAAGAAGCACCGGCUAACUACGUG
This 465-nucleotide ribosomal RNA is filed under the name uncultured bacterium. RNAcentral describes it as "bacterial SSU rRNA". It matches the Rfam family "Bacterial small subunit ribosomal RNA", at positions 33 to 507 of the family's 1533-position model. The record is from RNAcentral.